GCCCUGGUAGUAUAGUCUGGCCUAUUAUGCUGGCCUGUCACGCCGGAGAUCCCGGGUUCGAAUCCCGGCCAGGGCGCCA
RNAcentral lists this transfer RNA (79 nucleotides) under Candidatus Bathyarchaeota archaeon. Its description in RNAcentral is "tRNA-Asp". It matches the Rfam family "tRNA". Rfam says of the family: Transfer RNA (tRNA) molecules are approximately 80 nucleotides in length. Lineage: Archaea; Thermoproteati; Candidatus Bathyarchaeota. The record is from RNAcentral. RNAcentral also lists the same sequence under 1 other name.